This 253-nucleotide ribosomal RNA is filed under the name uncultured bacterium. RNAcentral's name for it is "partial 16S ribosomal RNA". It matches the Rfam family "Bacterial small subunit ribosomal RNA", at positions 524 to 776 of the family's 1533-position model. The record is from RNAcentral.
UACGUAGGGCGCGAGCGUUGUCCGGAAUUAUUGGGCGUAAAGAGCUCGUAGGCGGUCUGUCACGUCGGCUGUGAAAUCCCGAGGCUCAACCUCGGGUCUGCAGUCGAUACGGGCAAACUAGAGUAUUGCAGGGGAGACUGGAAUUCCUGGUGUAGCGGUGAAAUGCGCAGAUAUCAGGAGGAAGACCAGUGGCGAAGGCGGGUCUCUGGACAGUUCCUGACGCUGAGGCACGAAGGUCAGGGGAGCAAACGGG